AUUCGAGCUCCACUCUUAGGCAUAAACUUCCUUGCUCCUUUAGGAUCCCGAAGGAUGCCGAGUCCUUUGGAUAAACUUACUGUAGCUAUCAUGCUGGGGGAGCCUAAGACUUCACUUCCAGCCUUGCUUCUGCUAAAAGUUAAGUUUUCUCGAAUACUUUAUGACAGCGCAUUUGCCGUGUAGAGUGGUUGAUCAUUUUAAGAGAGCUCUGUUCAGCAAGCUCUUUUGCAAGAGUAGGUCAGUGUUCGAGCCGUUUGGGGAAAAUGGAAGAAGAGAGUGUUUGGCAUCUGUAGUACUUCCUGGGGGCAGAGCAAUGUCUCAUCAUUUCUUCUCUGAGACUCACUUCUCUCCUAUUGCUGGUGGAGUGGAGUUGGAGUCUUUGCCUGAGGAUUUUACUAGUCUGAGCACAUGUGUGUCCCAAAGGCUGGAACUCCUCUCUGGUUUUGGGUGGGGAAUUCCCAAAUGGUGUAAGAAAGCUUUGUGGAAUCAUUCCAGAGAGCCAACAGGUAAGCUGUGACUUUGCUCAUGUAUAAGAAGGUUUUUCACUUUUUCACAGCUACAGAUCAUCUCAAGGUGAGUGCUGCUUUCCUGGGGAGUUUUGGUGGUCAAGUUUCGUCAGUUUGGGGGUGGUGUCUGUCAUCUACUUUGACGUCCUUCCUUUAGAUGUUGUAAAUCUGUGAAGUUAUGAAUCAGAAUUUUUAACCAGGUGUACCAGAACUUGAGCAUUCAAAUAGGGAUUGCUCUAUUAAAAGUUGCUCUAUCUUAAAAGGUUAUGCUUGUAUUUCAUUGCCGCUCCUUUGCCAGAACCGCCUUAUAACUUCUGUUUUGGCAGUGAAUAUAUGUCAUAUGAGAAAAUUGGUCUCAUUCAGUAGUCGUACCCUAUGUUUAACCACAAAUCAUCUUACCUGGCUUGGUAGCUCACCUCAUGUACCAGACCAGGCUCUGAAUGGUCUCCUGUGACCUCUCAAAGUGACUUACCUUGAGGGGAGGAAUACCUGCUGCUACUAGAGCACCAGGAAAGAACUUGCGUGUUCUAAAGGUCACUCAAACAGAGAAGUUCCCAAAAUGCUCUGCACUUUAGUAUUGCCAUUGGAAUCAGUGUGCAGCCUUCCAGCGUGGCUGCUGGGAGGUGAGGCAGCCCCCUGCAGGUCUGAACUCUGGUGUAGUCUUCUAAAAACGGGGCCCUUAUUUCCAGUUUCUUCCUGGUAUGCAACAGGUAGUUUCUCAAGUAACAAGAUUUUGUCAUUUAUUCAACAAGCAUUUAUCGAGCAUCGUCUGCCAAAGGCAGUGUGCAGUGGAAACACAGUGAUGGGACACUUGUCAUUCAGUUCUCUGGGCAAGUUCACCAUCUUGUGGGUCAAAGAACCGAAGAGGUAGUUCUAAACUUCGCCAAGAAUCCUCAAUUACAAGGUGAUUGUGUGAGAAGAACAACUGAGUAAAAACCCUGAACUGGGAGUUGGUGAAGAUGUGACAAGAGGACCCUCCAUGGCAUUGUCUGCAUUUGAUAGGCUGCGUGUUCUUCCUAGCACCUCACCUAAAGUGUGCACCCAGGUGGUUGCCAGAUUGAAUUCAUCUCAAAACAGGACGUAGAUGCCCAGUGAGACCAUGAACCUGCCCAGCCCAGGGCCUGGAACACAAACCAUCUUCUGACCCCCAGUGACACUUCUCUUCUGUGCAGCAAGAACUGUAGGUACCGAUGGAUGUGGCCGAGAGCCCUGAACGGGACCCUCGCUCUCCAGAGGACGAAGAAGAGGAGCAGCAGGGGCUCUCGGACGAUGACAUUCUGAGGGAGAGUGGGUCUGAUCAGGAUUUAGACGGAGCUGGGGGGAGGGCUUCUGAUUUGGAGGAUGAAGACAAUGCCGCCCCGGGACUGAGCCAGGAGGAGGAGGAGAGUCACUCUGACGAGGAGGACCAGGACCAGGAGUCCGAGGCUCAGGAUCUGAGCAGGGGCCCCACGAGCCCCCCGCAUGUGGAGGAGGGGGACGGAGGGGAGGAAGAGCACACAAGCGACCUGAGGGACGAAGCCUCGUCAGUCACCAGGGACCUGGAUGAGCAUGAGUUAGACUAUGAUGAGGAGGUCCCUGAGGAGCCGGCCCCCGCUGGGCAGGAGGACGAGGCCGAGAAGGCUGGCGCCGAGGAUGAUGAGGAGAAGGGAGAAGGAGCUCCUGGGGACGAGGGGGCUACAGGCGUUCACAUUGUGGAAGACAAGGAGCCCCUGGAGACCGCCAAGGAGAAAAACAAGGAGGAUGAUGAUGGGGAGCUCGACGAUGGGGAGCUGGACGUGAGUGCCUGGGCUGCCAGGGCUGGUGGGGGGAUGGGGAGGGUAAUGAGUCAAGGAGACAGGACACAUGAGGACUGGGAAGUCAGGACUGUUCUGGGAGCAGUCACUAUGGUAAUUAGGGAGUGCCAAAAACCAAGAAGGAGGAAUAGGCUAGAUUCAGAAAACUUGGUUCUACCACUUGGUAGCUGGCAGAAGUUUGUGGACCCUCCCCUGUCUGCUGCUUCUGGGUGGAGUGUAUUAAAAUGUUUAACCCCAAUUUUGUUUACUUGAGCUCUAGGUUUGUGUAACAAUUAAAAAGAUCAUUUUUCCCUUUCUUUUUGCAAUCUUUAAAUAAUACUUGAGGUCACGUUCUACUAAAACCAUCGUGGAUUUUCAGUUCCUGUUAAGUUCUUGAGACUGAUGAGCUCCAGAAGCUUCCUUCGAGUUUUGUCUGUUCUUCCAGGUUAUCUUUGU
Molecule: non-coding RNA, 2734 nt
Organism: Leptonychotes weddellii (Weddell seal)
Lineage: Eukaryota; Metazoa; Chordata; Mammalia; Carnivora; Phocidae
Source: RefSeq, a predicted model, not a curated record